AGUGAACGCUGGCGGUAGGCCUAACACAUGCAAGUCGAACGGCAGCACAGUAAGAGCUUGCUCUUACGGGUGGCGAGUGGCGGACGGGUGAGGAAUACAUCGGAAUCUACUUUUUCGUGGGGGAUAACGUAGGGAAACUUACGCUAAUACCGCAUACGACCUACGGGUGAAAGCAGGGGAUCUUCGGACCUUGCGCGAUUGAAUGAGCCGAUGUCGGAUUAGCUAGUUGGCGGGGUAAAGGCCCACCAAGGCGACGAUCCGUAGCUGGUCUGAGAGAAUGGUCGGCCGCACUGGAACUGAGACACGGUCCUGACGCCUACGGGAGGCAGCAGUGUGGAAUAUUGGACAAUGGGCGCAAGCCUGAUCCAGCCAUACCGCGUGGGUGAAGAAGGCCUUCGGGUUGUAAAGCCCUUUUGUUGGGAAAGAAAAGCAGCAGGUUAAUACCCCGCUGUUCUGACGGUACCCAAAGAAUAAGCACCGGCUAACUUCGUG
RNAcentral lists this ribosomal RNA (492 nucleotides) under uncultured bacterium. RNAcentral's name for it is "partial 16S ribosomal RNA". It matches the Rfam family "Bacterial small subunit ribosomal RNA", at positions 29 to 507 of the family's 1533-position model. The record is from RNAcentral.